GAUGAAUGCUGGCGGCGUGCCUAAUACAUGCAAGUCGUGCGGCAGCGCGAGUAGUUUACUACUUGGCGGCGAGCGGCGGACGGCUGAGUAACGCGUGGGAACGUGCCCCAAAGUGAGGGAUAAGCCCGAGAAAUCGGGUCUAAUACCGCAUAUGGUCUUCGGAUUAAAGCUUCGGCGCUUUGGGAGCGGCCCGCGUACGAUUAGAUUGUUGGUGAGGUAAUGGCUCACCAAGUCGACGAUCGUUAGCUGGUCUGAGAGGAUGAUCAGCCAGACUGGAACUGAGACACGGUCCAGACUCCUACGGGAGGCAGCAGUAAGGAAUCUUCCACAAUGGGGGCAACCCUGAUGGAGCAACGCCGCGUGCAGGAUGAAGGCCCUCGGGUCGUAAACUGCUUUUAUGAGUGAAGAAUAUGACGGUAACUCAUGAAUAAGCACCGGCUAACUACGUGCCAGCAGCCGCGGUCAUACGUAGGGUGCAAGCAUUAUCCGGAGUGACUGGGCGUAAAGAGUUGCGUAGGCGGUUAGUAAAGCGAAUAGUGAAACCUGGUGGCUCAACCAUACAGACUAUUAUUCGAACUCACUAACUCGAGAGUGGUAGAGGUAACUGGAAUUUCUUGUGUAGGAGUGAAAUCCGUAGAUAUAAGAAGGAACACCAAUGGCGUAGGCAGGUUACUGGACCAUUUCUGACGCUAAGGCACGAAAGCGUGGGGAGCGAACGGGAUUAGAUACCCCGGUAGUCCACGCC
This 745-nucleotide ribosomal RNA is filed under the name uncultured bacterium. Its description in RNAcentral is "bacterial SSU rRNA". It matches the Rfam family "Bacterial small subunit ribosomal RNA", at positions 28 to 801 of the family's 1533-position model. The record is from RNAcentral.